This 499-nucleotide ribosomal RNA is filed under the name uncultured bacterium. Its description in RNAcentral is "partial 16S ribosomal RNA". It matches the Rfam family "Bacterial small subunit ribosomal RNA", at positions 28 to 506 of the family's 1533-position model. The record is from RNAcentral.
GACGAACGCUGGCGGCGUGCUUAACACAUGCAAGUCGAACGGGUCUGCCCUGUUUUUUGCGGGGUGGGUCAGUGGCGAACGGGUGAGUAACACGUGAGUAACCUGCCCCUCACUUCUGGAUAACCGCUUGAAAGGGUGGCUAAUACGGGGUGUUCUGGCUGUGCCGCAUGGUGUGGCUGGGAAAGAUUCACUUUUGUGGUGUUUUGGUGGGGGAUGGGCUCGCGGCCUAUCAGCUUGUUGGUGGGGUGAUGGCCGGCCAAGGCUUUGACGGGUGGCCGGCCUGGGAGGGUGGGCGGUCACACUGGGACUGAGAUACGGCCCAGACUCCUGCGGGAGGCAGCAGUGGGGGGUAUUGCACAAUGGGCGGAAGCCUGAUGCAGCGACGUCGCGUGAGGGAUGGAGGCCUUCGGGUUGUGAACCUCUUUCGCCGGUGAAGAAGGUCCUGCUCUUUGUGGUGGGGUUGACGGUAGCCGGGUUAUGAAGCGCCGGCUAACUACGU